Molecule: long non-coding RNA, 573 nt
Organism: Homo sapiens (human)
Lineage: Eukaryota; Metazoa; Chordata; Mammalia; Primates; Hominidae
Product: long intergenic non-protein coding RNA 2055
Source: Ensembl
AGCUGGAGGCCUGCAUAGAACAAAAACACAGGUCUUCCUGAGCAAGAGGGGCUUCUCCAGCAUAUGGCCUUUGGACUUCAUCUAUACCAUCCGCACUUCUGGGUCUCCAGCCUGCUGGCCCACACUACAGAUUUUGGACUUCCCAGCUUCCAUAAUCAUGUGCUUCCCAUUUCUACAGCCGGUUUACUGCGGUCUCCUCAUGAACAUGUUGUCAUCACGCCCAGUGUAACUGCUCCCUCCCUGCAGGAGUUUACUCUGCUACAUGGAUAAGCUAACAAAGGCUCAUCUGGAACUACAGGGUUACAUCUCUAGUGUCAUUGUAUGACACAGUGACUCAGAGAUGAUUUCCUCUUCAGAAAACAGAAGAAUUUUCUGACACAUUUAUCCAGAUUGGAUGAUAUGGAGAUGAACACCAGGACUAUUUUAGAAACUGCAUGUUGAAGACCACUGAGAUAUAAAACUUAGAAAAAAAAAGGUUCUGAAUCAAUGCCUUGUGAAGACAGUUGCACAGGGUACCACCAGGCUGAAAUCCAGGUGUUCACCAGGACUUUUCUUCACCUGGAGGCCCAGCUG